Molecule: long non-coding RNA, 5617 nt
Filed under: Sus scrofa (pig)
Lineage: Eukaryota; Metazoa; Chordata; Mammalia; Artiodactyla; Suidae
Description: lncRNA (ENSSSCG00000060243.1)
Source: RNAcentral
CUUAAAUCUAGCACAAUCCUACACCUUUCAGAAAAUAAAAGAUACUACUUAGGAGGAAUUCUUGAAAUGCUUUUAAAGUAAGAACGUCUUUGCAUAUAGACUUAGAGACUGAGAAAGUGUGUCUGCACACGCACACACAUGGUUCUCAUGAAGACUUGUGUGCCUGGCCAAGGGAGCAGGUGUGGUCUGAAGUGCAACCUGCGUGCCACAUUUCCGUGUGGGGCUGCAUUUGUCUGGAGGAAAGGUGAGUAAUUCUAGCAGGAAUGUCCUAAGAGCCCUUGAGGCCAGUGGUGGUUUCAUGGGAAUAACACACACACACACACACACACACACACACACACACACACACACACAGAGUUUUCUGCCUAAAUUACAGGACAGUGUUCCUUAGAGGUAGUGUCAAGGCUUUACUUCAAGAAGUAAAACUUCUCUCCUUGGAAAGAGCUGUUCAUUUGGCCAUGAGAUUAGCUUUCUAGGAGAGAAGUUGUGGGUGUGGAGUAGAGUUGUGACCUUCAAUCCUUCACAUUUAUACAUCAAUUUGCAGUACUUUCAGAUAUAUUAUUACACUUAAUCCUCACAAUCCUAAGGUACAGAUAUUGCUAACUCCAUUUCACAGUUGAAAAAAUAGACUUAGAAUAAUUGACGUGCCCAAGUAGAGAGGGUGCUAAGUGGGGACUUUGGAGUCCAAAUACCAUGUCGUUUCCAUUUCAUGGGUCUGUAGAAAAGGUUUAGAUUUAUAUAUAUUUUCUCUAAAUAUUGUCUUCCCUCUUACGCAGAAGUUGAGUACAUAAAGGUAUCAAUUGGGUGAUUUAUGUAAUUCUAUUGCUACUACAACUUUUAGGGGGAUUCCAAUCUUCUUAUUUUUCACUUAAGCUAUUGUCUGCAACAUCACUAACAUCAAGUACAACAAAUAAGACAUCUAAGGAGGUGUGCUCUUAAGAUUUUUGAGAUGAAAUACGGGAUCAUAAAUGUGACUUUGCUUUUAAUCAUUUAAAGUCUUGGAUUUGUGUGAUGUGUCUCAUAUGAUGAGAGCCAUCUUCUAAAGACUCAGGACCUCAUUGCUCAACAGAACCUCCAUAAAUCUGCCACCCCAGACUGAGAGCCAAGCUUUCUUGGAGGAUUCUUGGGAAGAGAUCUUAGCUCUGGCAUUCACCAGCUGUGUGACUUUGGGCAGGACAUGCUCCUUUCUGGGCCUUAGUUUCCUGAUGAAUAAAAUGAAGGCUUUGAUAGAUUAUUCCUGAGUUCCUUGCAGCACUGACAUUUUAUAACUUUCCCUUGUUAGCCAUCCAGCAUCUGUUAUUCUGAUUCCUUUCUUUCUUUUGUUCUCUUUCUUUUGGCCACCCCUGAGGCAUGUGGAAGUUCCUGGGCCAGGGAUCAAAACUAUGCCACAACAGUAACCUGAGCCACAGCAGUGACAACACCAGUUCUUAAUUGCUAGGCCACCAGGGAACUCUGUGUUAUUCUGAUUUUGAAGAAUCUUUUUCCCGUCCAAUUCUUCCUCCUUUAAUUAUAUUUCCUCUAUUUGCAUUCUGUAUGGGGUCAUAGUGAGUUUUAUAGCAGCUCCCUCUUUGCCUAGAAAAUCUCUGCUCCUAAUUAUCAUAAAAGAUUGAGAAAGUCAAAAUCGACCCCACUUUGCCUGGCCUGUAACGCCUUUGCAAUCUCGCUUCAUUCUGUCCACAAGGAAUUUAUUUUCCAUUCAUCUUCUGCACGAGCUUUCUGUGGCAGCUACCCAUAUUCUACCCACCUUUCCUUCUUUAUGGUUCAGUUCCCUAAUAUUUUACACCCUGUAGCUCUUCACUUACCUUUCAAGUUCACUCCAACAUUGCUUCUUAUCUGAAGCACAAGUGUGGCCCUACUGCUUUCCAUUUAGUGGAUUUUCUGGUUACUUUCUUUAUCUUUCCAAGUAAAUUACAAGCUACUUGACUCAGAUAGAAUGUGAUUCUUUUUUUGGUGUCCUCACAGUUAGUCUGGGUCUAUUGAUUGGUUGGCAUUAACCUAUUUGGUUAGAAGAGCCCACCUUCUAAUUAGGACCAGAAUUAGGAAUUAACAUUUUGCUGCAGUGUCAAAGCACCCUGACAAUUUCUCCUGGCCUUGUCACACAUGGUUCUCUCAGACUUCACCAGCAAAAAGGAUUUUUUUUAUUUCAUUCAGCUGGGCAGGAAAUCCCAGUGACUAUAAACCAUGAGGGGUCACUGUUGGGAAGAGAAUGGUUGUACAGGCUAAGCUAUGCUACACCAAAGACCCUCUCUGCAAAACACAAAUGCUUACAGCUGCAACAUUAGUUCAUUUUCUCUGAAGCUCUCUCUCAUGAAGAAGAAUGUUUUAUACCUUAUGCCUCUUUCUUCAUUUAACCAAGUAGAUGAUGCUUUUUUGACAAUUAUGCAUUUUUAAUUCUUUUUGCUUACAAAUAUCCUUUGAACUAGUAAAUUGAUUUUGAUGAGACUUGUUGUGAUAUUACAGUGCCUCAAGAUGAACCUUGAAUUCCAUUGUGUCUCAGGAAACACUGAGAAACAAGAUGGCUUCCAUUAAACUGUGUUAAAAGUGGCACAUCUGCCAUUAAUUUAAAUUUGUACAACUGGAAGUUUGGAGUUGCUGUUGUAUGGGUGUGUUCAUAGACCAGAGUUCAUCUAGGGUACUAUCAGAAAAUUCAUGGUCUUAGAAGUGUCAUCUAAAAUGUGAAAUAAUUCUUGAGCAGAUUUACAAAACACUAAUUGGAAAGCAUGGCAAAUAGGGAAGUUAAAUUUGUGAGCAUUUUGAAACUAUCGUGGGUGAUAUAAGCAUAUUUUUUAACACUAGUGUUUAAUAAAAGCCAUUUCUGUGUCUGGGCCAAGGGCUUUGGCAUAUGUUCAGUGUAAGUCAAAGGAGAUAAUAUGGAGCCAAGGAAUACCUAAGCUGUGUAUCCCUAGGGAGGUUGGAAAUGGUAGGAGACAUUCCUCAAAACAUACUGGGUGGACUGUACCAGUGUAACUGCCAUCAGUCAUUCACUGCCAGCCCAAUUGCCAGCCCAAUCCACCAGACCUUUCCUGGGAGAGGGAGGUGGAGAUACAAGAGGCCAAGGCCAAUCCCAUGAAGUCCUUGCUUCAUUUGCUUAUUUCUAUGUUUAACUGCAAGUUAUUCUAUUUGCUUCAUUACUGAUAGAAGCCACAUUAAAAAACAAAAAACAAAAAAACCCAUGGUAGGUGGGAGGGAGAGUUUAAAGGAUAAGCAGGGAUAGGAAGGUUACAUUAUAGCAUUUCACCCCCUCCCCACCCCUGAGUCACCUGCCUUAGGAUUUCCAAAUCAUUCCAUCCUUGGUGGCCACAUGCGGUCAGAAGAUGGGUGGGAUGCUGUAAGCUUCCUAAAUUAGUCCUACCAGAAAUCACACAGAAUUAUGAAGAAAGCUUUCCUUUAACCCUAAGUACUAGGGUCAGAACAAAAGGCAGAGGUUUCUCAUUUCAAGGCUGGGCUGGUUCAGGGGGGAAGCAAAAUGUGGGGAAAAGACUUUCAGCUUCAGGAGGAGGAGAAGUGACAUUAACUGUCCUGCACAGACUCCUAGCAUUUUUAAAAUAUGUUUUAAAACAGAUUACUUUUACCUUCUAAUGGGAUCAUUGAAAACAUCUGGUAUGCUAGGUCUUGGUUCAUUGCUGUCCAUUUGAAAAACAAAAAAAUUUGGCAUUUAGAUGAAUAAAUCACAUGGUUUUCCCCAAAACACCUCAUGAGUGGCAGCCCUUGCACCAGAAACUGCUUCUUUAACACUCACACUGCUCCGAGAUAGAGAGCAUGACCUCGUGGCAUGUGCUGUGGCUCUGGAGGUUUCUGGAAAAGCAUAGGUGGGAAUCAGAUAGAAUCUGAGACCAGAUUCUUUUCCUGUGACAGAAUUCACAUAUUUGGGCAAGGUGUUCACUAUCUCCCCAUCUGUUAAUUGGUAGUGGUGACAGGGUGGGAACAAUUUUGUUCACUCUGUGACCCCUGGGAAGGUGUAGGGAUCUGUGGGCACCCAUUUCUGGAAUAGGCACUCGAGUGAUUUCUUCCAUUGGAUACUGAUAAUAGCACUUCGGAGUAAAUAUUUUCUCUAUUUUAUUUAUAAGGGACUGGAACUCAAAGCUGUUAAGUAACUUGUUCAAGGUAUGAGGUUUAGUAGUGGCAGAAGCUGGAAUUCCAACCUGCGUCUCGUGCUGUUUUUAAUGUACACUGCCUCAUCAGAUGGGUGAAUGGCUGUGGUAGUCCCUUGGAUGUUGGCAAAGUUCUCCUAUGUAACAGGAGCUGGUUGGUGUUUUGACAUAAGUAUCUGAAGUCUGGAGCAGGCUGGGAGGGCCUGAGAUGAGAAAGAGAAGACCCAGAACUCACUGAUAAUUAUGGCAAAGCUGGACAUGGCCCCUGAACUCCUCAGCCAUCUGUUCCAUCUAUUUUGCAUAUUCUAGACUUAUUCACUCAUUUACUUAUUAAAUAAAUAUUUAUUGAGUCUCACCAAUGAUGAGGCACUAUGCUAAAGCUGGGGUUGCCAGGGGAGAGAGAGGAGAAGCAGGCUCUCACAGUAGAUGUGACAGGGGCUCCCAGAGAAGAAAACAGGAGAACUGGAGGGCCUUGGUAUCUAGGAGAUGCAUGGGGUGCCAGGCGGGGGAAGAGGGAGAGCUGCAAGAACAGAGGCACAGUGUUGGAGGAGGGGCCCUGGAGCAGACAAAAUAUCUAGACCCAGGCAUCUCCCACUGGAUCUCAGGAACCAGCCCAGGCACUGCCAGCACCUUGUCAAUAGGUGAGACAGAAGACAGACAUGGAUGUGGAAGCCUAGGCUCACUCUGCCUAUUCUUGAAGCACCAGCUAAGAAAACAGCCCUUCUUGAUGACUCUGGGCAGGGAGUGCCUUUGCCAUCCUGAAGAAGCAGCUGGAAAGUCAGUUGGGUGGGCACUUUCCAAUAUAGGAACUACUGGGGACACAGCCAAUGCCUUCAGGGAGAACCACUGGAAGUCGUUUACCUCCCUUGGCCUAUGAGCUGUGCUGCCUUCACCUGGGUCAAGCCCUGGCAGCACCUCUGUGAGACCCUGGCUGCUGUCCAUCCCACACAUCUCUCCCUGGUCUCUCCCCUAGUACAGGGCUAAGACGGAGGUUCUGCUAUGUAUUGGGGGUAAGUCCAGUUGCAGUCAGGGACUGCUGAACCUGGAGCCUGCAAGCAGGUGAGCCUUUAGUGCUCCUGGCUUUGCUCUUCCCCAGUGGCCUUGCUUUGGCUUCUAUACUAGAUUUAGACUCUUUGAGGCCAGGGGGUUGUAUUUCCUACUCCUCUUGCACUUUCCACAGUGACCGACACUGAUGUGGCCCUUGCAGGUAUUUAUUGCUAGUUGAUGCUAUGUUUAUCAUUGCUGUUGUAGAGAGUUGUAGGGGAAGACACUUUGAGAUUUAAACUUCACUUGGAGUCACAGACCAUGGAAAGCAAGGAUGGGCAGGGGUUUGAAGCCUGCAUCUCAUACAAAUGGGGAGGCUGAGGCCAGACAAGGCAAGGGGAGUCAUUUAAGGAUUUAGCAGAGUUAGGUGCAUACCUGUGUGUUUUCUCCUCUGGGACUUUGUUCUUGCCACCAAGGCAUCAUCCACCCUCUACAUGAGCUAAACUCAAGAAGAAGAGUGAAAAGCCAAAGUUUCAUGUCCA